GGAAAAGAAACUAACAAGGAUUCCCCUAGUAACGGCGAGUGAAGCGGGAAGAGCUCAAAUUUGAAAUCUGGCAGUCUUCGAUUGUCCGAGUUGUAAUCUAUAGAGGCGUUUUCCGUGCCGGACCGUGUCCAAGUCUCCUGGAAAGGAGUAUCAAAGAGGGUGAUAAUCCCGUACUUAACACGACCACCGGUGCUCUGUGAUACGUCUUCUACGAGUCGAGUUGUUUGGGAAUGCAGCUCAAAAUGGGUGGUGAAUUCCAUCUAAAGCUAAAUAUUGGCGAGAGACCGAUAGCGAACAAGUACCGUGAGGGAAAGAUGAAAAGCACUUUGGAAAGAGAGUUAAACAGUACGUGAAAUUGUUGAAAGGGAAACGAUUGAAGUCAGUCGUGUUCUUUGGAUUCAGCCAGUUCUGCUGGUCUACUUCCUUUGAACGGGUCAACAUCAGUUUUGUCCGGUGGAUAAAGGCAGUAGGAAUGUAGCUUCUCCGGAAGUGUUAUAGCCUAUUGUCACAUACACUGGGUGAGACUGAGGACUGCAGCUCGCCUUUA
Molecule: ribosomal RNA, 547 nt
Filed under: Trichosporon coremiiforme
Lineage: Eukaryota; Fungi; Basidiomycota; Tremellomycetes; Trichosporonales; Trichosporonaceae
Description: partial large subunit ribosomal RNA
Rfam family: Eukaryotic large subunit ribosomal RNA
Source: RNAcentral